AUUUAAUGCUCACAGUAGCUGUGUUGUAAGUUAUGGCAGGAUACAGUUUGUUUAAUACCCCUCCCCUCACACGCCUAUCAGUCGCGCUCGUCCAGUCAGCACAUUGCUAGAAACUAUCUUUGCAAACUUUCGGAUUGUGAACUGCCACACCCCCGCGACAAGUAUAAAAGGAACCCAGAACUCCCCCGUCUGUAUUGAUGAAAAGACGGGCGAUGAAAAGGAGGAAACCGUCAAAAAAGGUAGAAGAGCUUCAACGAGGUAAGUAAAGAUUAAUUUCCUACUGAGCAAGCAUGCCAGCCUGAACGUCAACAGCGUUGUUACUGUGAGCUCUGCUGAAUUCCUCAAUGUCCUGAUCGGAGAUAUCCUGCUUAGCUCUGAAGAGCUAGCUGUGGUGUAUUCCGAGUAUUUUCUGCAGCUGCCCUUAUUGUGACCUUACUACCCUGUGGACUGUCACAGUUUCACAGCAGGAAAAGAAAGAAAAACUCAGCCGCUGUCUGAAUCCAUUAAUCGGUUCAAGAGUCUCUCCUGCUGCAUUCCAGUGUCGGGGCAGAUAUACCCUUAUACACUCUCAUCGUCCCCAGUCUCACUCUCCAGCGUGCGGCCUGAUCCCAGGACGAGCGGCCCCUCUGCUCCCGGCUGUUGCACUGUUUCUGUUCCGUGUGAUUUCAGAAAGGAAGGGUCCCCGGAAGAAAGGGAAACUUGGUCCUCAGGGGCCCACAGCAGGUGCUGUUGGAGCCCCUGAGGACCAGGUCAAAGAAAACCUCAUCUGUCCAGAGCGCGCCUGUGUCAUCUCCCCAGAGGAAGAAGCAGAGACCAGAGACGGGUCCAGCACACCGAGUAUAUCCCAGGUGACAAAGCAGGAAGGCGAACAUCAGGAAGAAGAAGAAGAUAUUUCAGAACUAAAGGCUGGGGAGAUACACAGAUGGCCUUGUCUUAUUUUACCUACCCGUUAUAAAAAAAAUAAUUUCUUUUUAACUCCUAAUCCAAGUGAAUCUCUACAUUUGUAUUUGGGAGAAAAAUAUAUUAAUGUUAUUGAGCCAAAUUCAAAUAAAAUAGUUGAAUUUAUAUUAUGUUAUAAUUGGAAUAGCACUCAUUUGGAAUCAGCAAAACUAUUCCAGAAAGACCUGACCUCAGUAUUCCGAUCUGAAGCCAAUAUUCCUUCAGAAACAGUAGACAUAGCCGAGUAUGAAGAUGUAGAUGUAUAUGAAUAUAAAACUCGAAACAAAAUAAAGAUUAAAGCAUUAAACUUUGUUAAUGAGGCCAGUUAUACAUUAAUUUUAAAAAUGUUAAUUUCCAAAAAGGACAAAAAAGAUAUUUAUUUUAGGGUUAAAGAUUUUGUAAUGCGACUGAACCCUGAAAAUCUCUAUAUAGAACCAUGGGGUACAACAGAUGAAGGAAAAACCUGGCACUGGAAAUACAAAGACCUAAUUUAUGAUAGUCGUAAAAUUGCUUCUGGUAGAAACUUUAGUCAAGCCUUGAACGUGCUGGUCAGGGGGGAUUUCGAUAAAAGACAGGAUAGCUUUAGUAAUGUCAAUAUUCAUGAGGUUGUGGCUAUGCUUGCGGUCUUGAUUUCCGAAGCAAUUCGAAACCCCAGCACUUAUUACAUCAACUUGAUCAUGAUGAGAUGGAAU
RNAcentral lists this long non-coding RNA (1631 nucleotides) under Lepisosteus oculatus (spotted gar). RNAcentral describes it as "lncRNA (ENSLOCG00000021389.1)". Lineage: Eukaryota; Metazoa; Chordata; Actinopteri; Semionotiformes; Lepisosteidae. The record is from RNAcentral.